Molecule: non-coding RNA, 101 nt
Organism: Kalmusia sp. IMI 367209
Lineage: Eukaryota; Fungi; Ascomycota; Dothideomycetes; Pleosporales; Didymosphaeriaceae
Source: the annotation of a GenBank genome assembly
GCAUCGGUGGUUUAGUGGUAAAAUUAGCCGUUGCCAAAUGCAGCUUUCGUUGAAGGUUGCUCGCUGUCGGCUAGCCCCGGGUUCGAUUCCCGGCCGAUGCA